RNAcentral lists this ribosomal RNA (505 nucleotides) under uncultured bacterium. RNAcentral describes it as "partial 16S ribosomal RNA". It matches the Rfam family "Bacterial small subunit ribosomal RNA", at positions 28 to 507 of the family's 1533-position model. The record is from RNAcentral.
GACGAACGCUGGCGGCGUGCCUAAUACAUGCAAGUAGAACGCACAGUUUAUACCGUAGCUUGCUACACCAUAGACUGUGAGUUGCGAACGGGUGAGUAACGCGUAGGUAACCUGCCUGGUAGCGGGGGAUAACUAUUGGAAACGAUAGCUAAUACCGCAUAAUAUUAAUUAUUGCAUGAUAAUUAAUUGAAAGGUGCAAUUGCACCACUACCAGAUGGACCUGCGUUGUAUUAGCUAGUAGGUGAGGUAACGGCUCACCUAGGCGACGAUACAUAGCCGACCUGGGAGGGUGAUCGGCCAAACUGGGACGGGGACACGGCCCAGACUCCUAAGGGAGGCAGCAGUAGGGAAUCUUCGGCAAUGGAGGAAAGUCUGACCGAGCAACGCCGGGGGAGUGAAGAAGGGUUUCGGAUCGGAAAGCUCGGUUGUAAGGGAAGAAAGGGUGUGAGAGUGGAAAGUUCACACUGUGACGGUAUCUUACCAGAAAGGGACGGCUAACUACGUG